CAGCAGCCACGGUAAUACGGAGGGAGCUAGCGUUGUUCGGAAUUACUGGGCGUAAAGCGCGCGUAGGCGGUUACUCAAGCCAGAGGUGAAAGCCCGGGGCUCAACCCCGGAACUGCCUUUGAAACUAGGUGACUAGAAUCUUGGAGAGGUCAGUGGAAUUCCGAGUGUAGAGGUGAAAUUCGUAGAUAUUCGGAAGAACACCAGUGGCGAAGGCGACUGACUGGACAAGUAUUGACGCUGAGGUGCGAAAGCGUGGGGAGCAAACAGGAUUAGAUACCCCAGUAGUCCCUGUCUCUUAUAA
RNAcentral lists this ribosomal RNA (301 nucleotides) under uncultured bacterium. Its description in RNAcentral is "partial 16S ribosomal RNA". It matches the Rfam family "Bacterial small subunit ribosomal RNA", at positions 509 to 809 of the family's 1533-position model. The record is from RNAcentral.